RNAcentral lists this small nuclear RNA (186 nucleotides) under Nicotiana attenuata. RNAcentral's name for it is "snRNA U2". It matches the Rfam family "U2 spliceosomal RNA". From Rfam's summary of the family: U2 is a small nuclear RNA (snRNA) component of the spliceosome (involved in pre-mRNA splicing). Complementary binding between U2 snRNA (in an area lying towards the 5' end but 3' to hairpin I) and the branchpoint sequence (BPS) of the intron results the bulging out of an unpaired adenosine, on the BPS, which initiates a nucleophilic attack at the intronic 5' splice site, thus starting the first of two transesterification reactions that mediate splicing. Lineage: Eukaryota; Viridiplantae; Streptophyta; Magnoliopsida; Solanales; Solanaceae. The record is from Rfam by way of RNAcentral.
ACAUUUUCUUGGUCUUUUGACUAAGAUCAAGUGCAAUAAAUGUUCUUAUUUAAUAUUUGAUAUAUGAGUCAUGGACCCAAACUUAACUAAUUUUUUAGGAGAGAUAUUAUUACAAUAGUUUGCUAUUGGGGUCUUCAUGUGUCGUCUUGUUGUAGCACUAUGGCCCUAGCCAUCCGCACCCCAUCA